This 1008-nucleotide long non-coding RNA is filed under the name Homo sapiens (human). RNAcentral describes it as "HSALNT0345328". Lineage: Eukaryota; Metazoa; Chordata; Mammalia; Primates; Hominidae. The record is from RNAcentral.
AUUAAAUUAAAAUCCGCCUUUUAUGUUUUCCAAUUUUUCACAGUGAAAAAAAUCAUGAGAAGUAUCCUCAUAGGUGAGUCUUUUCACACAUCUGCACUAGUGAAUAUCUGAAUUUUAAAAGCCACUCCAGACCUACAUAGGUGAUGCAUAAUCAGAGGAGGUGACCCCAAGCACCUUAGAGACCAUGGGAAGUUCCUAAUGCCGGCCUGAUGCAGAUUCUCUUCUCCACGGAGCACCAUGGCCGCUGGGCUCUGCCUUCCACACAGAACGAUGUGUACUUGAAAACAGUACACUCUUGCACAGCUGUCCCUGGAGCUUCCCCGUGGAGCUGUUAAACUUGCCCUCCGCUGGCUGUUUUCCACAAAGUAAUAUGGUUACAUAGAUUCACGGCUCAUGGCAAUGUUUCAUUAAGACAGUUCUUGAUGGCCGCUCCACACCUUUCUCACCACAUCUCACAGGCUGCCCUGCUGAGCCAGGUCUCCCUGGAACCCGGGGCUCCUGCGCAGGCCCCCAUUUUGCUCCAGAACACCCAGGAAGGCGGGGCUUGGGCUGGAAUGGGGACACCGAUUACCCUCUGUUCAGGCCUUUGGUGCCAGCUGAGGUCGAUACUGGUGCCAGGAUCGAGACUGUGCGCAUCCCAUCGAGAGCGGGCAGAUGUGGGGGCGCACUGGACCGGGCCUCCCAGGCUGACACCCAUUCACAGCAGCCUGAGCCUAAUCCGCCACUGCUCGCCUUCCUCCGACGUCUCCACCUAAACCAUCCUUCUGCACAUUGUGACCCAUCACUCCGCCCUUUGUCCACACAUCUCCUUCCCCACACCCACAACGCGGUGGUCCCUGCCCCACAAUGCAACGGAAACCUUGCGGAGUGCUAGGCGGAAGCUGCGAGGCCUGUGUAGACACUGCCUCCGCAGGGCUGGCGCACUCCUCCGAGGGCCGACUGAGGGGUGGGUUUUUUAAGUUGCAAAAUAAAAGUUAUCGCCUGUGGGCCCUGAAGGCCUCUUUUCCA